GAUGAACGCUGGCGGAGUGCCUAAUACAUGCAAGUCGAGCGAAUAGACGAGGAGCUUGCUCCGCUGACGUUAGCGGCGGACGGGUGAGUAACACGUGGAUAACCAACCUAUAAGACUGGGAUAACUUCGGGAACCCGGAGCUAAUACAGGAUAAUCUAUUGAAGCGCAUGGUUCAAUAGUGAAAGACGGUUUUAGUGGCACUUGUAGAGGGAUCCGCGCCACAUUAGCUAGUUGGUAAUGUAACGGCUUACCAAGGCACCGAUGCGUAGCAGACCUGAGAGGGUGAUCGGCCCAACUGGAAUCGAGACACGGUCCAGACUCCAACGGGAGGCAGCAGUAGGGAAGCUUCCGCAAUGGGCGAAGGCCUGACGGAGCAACGCCGCGUGAGUGAUGAAGGUCUUCGGAUCGUAAAACUCUGUUAUUAGGGAAGAACAAAUGUGUAAGUAACUAUGCACGUCUUGACGGUACCUAAUCAGAAAGCCACGGCUAACUACGUG
RNAcentral lists this ribosomal RNA (497 nucleotides) under uncultured bacterium. RNAcentral's name for it is "partial 16S ribosomal RNA". It matches the Rfam family "Bacterial small subunit ribosomal RNA", at positions 28 to 507 of the family's 1533-position model. The record is from RNAcentral.